This 244-nucleotide small RNA is filed under the name Vigna angularis var. angularis. RNAcentral describes it as "Non-protein coding transcript". Lineage: Eukaryota; Viridiplantae; Streptophyta; Magnoliopsida; Fabales; Fabaceae. The record is from RNAcentral.
UCCAUUUUCUCCUUCUUGCUCUGCUUUCUCUCUACCCUUGCACUCAUUUGAACCGUUGAAAUUUCAAAUAGGUGGUGUUCUUUCGCUCACGGAGUUGAGAGCUUCCCUUCUAUCCGAUUAGAUUUCUAUUUGGACGGAUAAGUGGUUGUAGGGCACUGUUUGGGUUUUCUCUGUGAAGGUACGAUUAGUGCACUCUAGUUGACUAUACUGCUCAACUUCAAGAGAAAGAUGAGGUUUCUUUGGA